This is a long non-coding RNA of Bufo bufo (common toad), 339 nucleotides long. RefSeq lists it as uncharacterized. The transcript is spliced from 2 exons. NCBI's taxonomy places the organism in Eukaryota, Metazoa, Chordata, Amphibia, Anura, Bufonidae. The record is from RefSeq and is a predicted model, not a curated record.
ACCGGAGAACGGAGCGGCGCCCGGGGAUAACAACUGCAAUGAAUUAUCAUGUGUUAUGGACAUUGGUUGUGGAUCCACUGUACCAACUGCAGAAGUGGUUGCCUGCUGACCCACCGACAUCAUAGAAAGGCACCAAGACAGAACCAACCAAGGAACAGGACACAGGCAAACAAUAAAACAAGAUAUUUGGCAUAAGUGCAAACACAGCGAGCCCCUAAGGAGCUGGUGCAGAGGAUGGGAGUGGUGGCCGUGAUGAGAUGUUGUGUGAGAUGGUGUACUCCCUCAGGUCGUGGCUCCCUGUGGAUCGGUGGAAAGGUGGUUUGAAGAAUCAGGCCAGAA